CUACAGCGAAACUGCGAAUGGCUCAUUAAAUCAGUUAUAGUUUAUUUGAUGGAUAAAGAAAUGGAUAACCGUAGUAAUUCUAGAGCUAAUACAUGCUUGAAAGCCCGACUCACGAAGGGCUGCAUUUAUUAGAUAAAGCCAACGUAUGGUGACUCAUAACUUAGCGAAUCGUAGAUUCUAUCUGCGAUAUAUCAUUCAAGUUUCUGCCCUAUCAGCUUUGAUGGUAGUGUAUUGGACUACCAUGGCUUUAACGGGUAACGGGGAAUUAGGGUUCGGUUCCGGAGAAAGAGCCUGAGAAACGGCUAUUACAUCUAAGGACGGCAGCAGGGGCGUAAAUUACCCAAUCUUAACUUAAGGAGGUAGUGACAAGAAAUAUUGACAUUGGAGAAAUCCAAGAUCGGAAUGGGCUAAAUUUAAAUCCCUUAGCGAGUAACAAUUGGAGGGCAAGUCUGGUGCCAGCAGCCGCGGUAAUUCCAGCUCCAAUAGCGUAUAUUAAAGUUGUUGCAGUUAAAAAGCUCGUAGUUGG
Molecule: ribosomal RNA, 526 nt
Filed under: uncultured eukaryote
Lineage: Eukaryota
Description: SSU rRNA
Rfam family: Eukaryotic small subunit ribosomal RNA
Source: RNAcentral